GGGGUUGUGGCUCAGCGGUAGAGCACUCACCUAGUGUGUGGGAGGCCCUGGGUUCCAUCCUCAGCACUACA
This 71-nucleotide transfer RNA is filed under the name Marmota monax (woodchuck). Its description in RNAcentral is "tRNA.Thr". The stretch from base 6 to 66 matches the Rfam family "tRNA", at positions 6 to 65 of the family's 71-position model. Rfam says of the family: Transfer RNA (tRNA) molecules are approximately 80 nucleotides in length. The record is from RNAcentral. Lineage: Eukaryota; Metazoa; Chordata; Mammalia; Rodentia; Sciuridae.